GACUGCGUUUGCCACACCACCUUCUUGCUGCUUCCACAUGCCCCGGGUGAGAAGCUGCCCCCAGAGGUGCUGGAGUACUAUCAGGACCAGAAAAGACUGCAGGAUGAGCAGGCAAAGCGCAAGACUGGGGAACCAGCAGGCCAGGACAACGCAAACUUUGAAGAUGUCCAGUCUCUGUCAGAUCAAGGAAGAAAGCACUCUGCUGGGAUUGUUCACACCAUCUCAUCCCAUAACUCAGUCGUUCCCUCCUCCAUUCUUGAUGAAAGCCAGUCCAGCAAGGUGGACUCUAAAGUUGAAUGUGGAGAGGAGGAGGAGGAGGAAGGCACUGAAGAAAGACAUGGGACAGGAGGGACAGCGAGACCCUGGUGCUGCAAAACAGCACCCCACUGCCCGUGGCCUGGUGGGUCAGUGGGCUGG
Molecule: long non-coding RNA, 417 nt
Organism: Gavia stellata (red-throated loon)
Lineage: Eukaryota; Metazoa; Chordata; Aves; Gaviiformes; Gaviidae
Exons: 3
Source: RefSeq, a predicted model, not a curated record